RNAcentral lists this ribosomal RNA (137 nucleotides) under uncultured bacterium. Its description in RNAcentral is "partial 16S ribosomal RNA". It matches the Rfam family "Bacterial small subunit ribosomal RNA", at positions 355 to 509 of the family's 1533-position model. The record is from RNAcentral.
UGGGGAAUAUUGCACAAUGGGGGAAACCCUGAUGCGGCGACGCCGCGUGAGCGAAGAAGUAUUUCGGUAUGUAAAGCUCUAUCAGCAGGGAAGAUAAUGACGGUACCUGACUAAGAAGCCCCGGCUAACUACGUGCC